AUACUUACCUGGUGCCGGGCUUUCUGACGAUCAAUUAGGUCGGGGCCCCGUGUCGAGGCCUUACCAUUGCACUGCGGUUGGCUGAAACACGCCACUACCCCAAACCGGGGCAGAUGGGGCAUGUAAUUUCUGGUAGUGGGGUUCGGCGUGCGCGCCAGCCCCUU
This 164-nucleotide small nuclear RNA is filed under the name Dermacentor andersoni. RNAcentral's name for it is "U1 spliceosomal RNA". It matches the Rfam family "U1 spliceosomal RNA". From Rfam's summary of the family: U1 is a small nuclear RNA (snRNA) component of the spliceosome (involved in pre-mRNA splicing). The record is from RNAcentral. Lineage: Eukaryota; Metazoa; Arthropoda; Arachnida; Ixodida; Ixodidae.